CUGGUCCUGGCCAGCCACUUGGCCUUUCCUCCUCCAGUCUUGGCAUGGAUCGUGUUUGCCAUAUUUCUGCUCGUCGCCGGUGCUUUUCUGAUGCUUCCCAGCCCGACAGGCAGCGCCCUGAGCUGUGCACUGCGAUCCAGCCUCCGGGUACAGGAUGCUCCUUUCCCAGCCGUGCUGUGCCCUGCUCCUGGCUGUAACAUUUUAUGAAGAUGGAUGGAUUUUCAGUCGCACAGAUGCAUAAGUGCGUCGUGCUUGCAGUUUGGUUUUGCUCACCCUGCAGUGCUGUGUAAAACUGCUGCAGCAUCACAAGCAUGUGGGUGGCCACUGAAGAAAGGGGAAAUAUGACAAUAAUUUGUUUUUGGUCGUGCCUUGGAACAGAAGACAAACAGGAAUCUGACCACAUCCCCCCGCACUCGGCAGUGAUUUGAAAUCCACAGCACGCGGUGUGCUGAGGCAGUGUCCUGCACUGCAAGGGGUGGGACCAGCAAGCAGGAAUUCUGAUUUUUUAAUGCAUCAUGAACCAGCUUACUGGAGUCUAUCUGGUGCUGCAUCUCAACUAAACAUCUCAAAAUGCAGGGGAACAGGGAAAAAAAGAACAGAUUUGAAAUCAUCAGCAGCAACGCGGUUUACCCAGGGUUUGAAUGUGAUGGAGACGUUCUAAAUCCUGGAGUGAGUGACAGAUUCAGGUGGCAAAUACUCUGGAAAGAAGCCCAGUGCCGGUGGUCCUGGCGGUGCCAGAGGGGCAGGGUGCUGCCCUGCAGUGCCUGUGAGAGGCUGAACUGGAAUCCCAUAUGCUGCAAAAAGAUCUGAUCCCCGACACAGGCUGCUCUUUCAAGGUCAUUUCAUUCUGCUUCAGGGUGCAGGGAAUUGUAUUUCUGAGCUUUUCCAGAUUAAGGGACAUAUGAGCAGCAGGCCUGAAUUUCUCCUUGGCUUUUUGUGGUUUUUGCUUAGGCUUGGAAUGUCACUCAAGAAGCUUGUGUUUAAGUCAGGAAACCUGGACUGUGCACAAACACCAAGAGACACCCUUACAGGGCAGCUUGCUGCAGAGCAUUUCAUACACAGUGCAAGACGCUCUGGACUUAGGCUCUGUGAGACUCACGGAAGGGCUUGCUAUAUCCUUACCAAUUUGCAGAAGAGCACACCUUGCCUUGGCCUGCUGCAGACUGUCUCUCUUGGGGCGGGACUGGCAGAGUGUUUUACUCGGCUGGCUCGCCACACGAAGCUGUUGCUUCGUCGUCUUUUCAAACCAAGCCUCGGUAUCUUCCCUCUGGAAGAAUCACCUCCGCUGAACAAAUUACUAAAUUUAGUAGCGAAAUAACAGGCUCAGAUUGCAUUUUGCUGAAGGUCAGAUUAGAGUAUCUAAUGGGGUUGUCUGGCUUUCACAUCUAAAUGCCAUUUGAAAUAAGGCUGCUGAGCACCUUUCGGUCUGUGUCGGUGUGCAACUGACUGUGCUUUGUCACUUACCAGUAACAACCCAGUAAUUCUGCAAUUCCUGUGAAAGGGGAACUUCCCAGGGGACUUUCACUGGUUCCCAGUGCCUUGUGGAGAUUAUCUAGAAGAAGAGAUUUAUAGAAGCGCAGAGUUAAAGAUUCACAAGCAGGUGUUAUCUCAAAUGUGCUGCGCAGCUCAUAUCCAUGCCAACAGAUCAUGGACAAAAUACAUAAGCUGCUCUUCCCAGGGUGUCUAUUCAACAGGCCAGCUGCUUUUGUCACGGGUGCACGAAACGGGAGUAUCUAAUAAGGAAGCACUUUGAUGUCACUGAGCCUAGCUGCCAGACCAGCUGCGACAAGGGCAAUGCCUUGGGACACCGCGCUGCGAUGCUGCAGGGAAUAAAGAGCUAAGGAGGGCAAAUGUUCA
Molecule: long non-coding RNA, 1857 nt
Filed under: Anas platyrhynchos platyrhynchos (common mallard)
Lineage: Eukaryota; Metazoa; Chordata; Aves; Anseriformes; Anatidae
Description: lncRNA (ENSAPLG00000018287.1)
Source: RNAcentral